This is a long non-coding RNA of Papaver somniferum (opium poppy), 440 nucleotides long. RefSeq lists it as uncharacterized. NCBI's taxonomy places the organism in Eukaryota, Viridiplantae, Streptophyta, Magnoliopsida, Ranunculales, Papaveraceae. The transcript is spliced from 3 exons. The record is from RefSeq and is a predicted model, not a curated record.
CUGUGGUGGAGAGAGAAAUUCUUUCUUAUAUCUCUCCCUCUUUUCGGUCGAUUUUCUUCGUCUUCUCAAAAAAUUUAUCAUCUUCUUAGAAUCUUCUUUUGUACCAAUCUUUUCUUGAUCCAUGGAUUCACCCAGCGGUAAGGAUCCUCAAUCUGGAAAAUUAGUUAUCAAGGUGACGAAGCCUAAUUCUUUUGCUAGUUCAGGAGGCAACGAUUCUCUCAAAGGGAAGCCUUCGCAAGAAAAGAGAGAUUCUGAAGACGAAGUUAACCGAGGAAAGAAGAGAAUUAAAAAGUCUCAUCCUUAUUUUUAACUUAAAUUACAUGUUUAAUUUUGUUAAUUUUGAUAUCGAAAUGCAAUUUUAUUUCUAGGGUUCAUAAGAAUUAGGGGUUUUUCUGUUUUUUAUAUUAAUUAGGGUUUAUAAUUGAAAUUUAAGAUUUUGA